Odocoileus virginianus texanus is the source of this 1466-nucleotide non-coding RNA. NCBI's taxonomy places the organism in Eukaryota, Metazoa, Chordata, Mammalia, Artiodactyla, Cervidae. The record is from RefSeq and is a predicted model, not a curated record.
ACUCAGACGUCACUGUCCAUAAGGCAUUUAGGACCAACUGCACAGUUAGAACAGUACCCCAAGACAGCACCUCACUUCCUUCAACAACUGCAAGUUCAGGGUCACCCCAAACCACCUCAACAGUUUGCCAGAAGGACUCACAGAACUCAGAGGAAGCAGAAUGUAAGGUGGCAAUUUGGUCUGCUUCAUUCACUGCUGCAUCACCUGCUUCCAGAACUGCGCCCUCCAAUAUAGGAACCACUAGCUACACAUGGCAAGUCUGCAGGUCAGAAGUCUGGAAAGAGUCUCUGAGGGCUGAAGUCCAGAUGCUGUGAGGGCCUCUUCCUUCUGGAGGCACUGCGUGUGAGUCUGCUCCCUGGCCUCUUCCAACUCCGAGAGGCUGCCUGGGUUCUCUGGUUUGUGGCCCCUUCCUCCAUCUUCAAAGCAUAUCACUCCAACUUCUCCCAACCUCACAUCUCCCUUGUCUGACUUUGAUCCUCCUGGUGUUAUACUGGAGCCACUUCAAUAAUCUAGGAUAAUCUCCCCGCCUCAGAAUCCUGACUUCAAUCACAUCUGCAAAGUCCCUUUUGCCAUGUAAGAGAACACGUUCACAAGUUCCAGGAUUACAACGUGGACAUCUUCAGAGGGUCACUGUGAAGUCUACCACAGGGGAGGACGUGGUGGGUGCCAGGAAAAGAAAAGUGGAGAAUGACCUCAAUGUUUGGGGGCUGGAAUAUCUGGAAGAAUGGCUGGUCAGGAACCGAGAUCAGCAAGACACAGGCUCAAAGAUUUAGUUGGUUCUUUGGAAGCUGAGUCCUGAUGAUUUCUCCCCACAGAGGCUUCCCUGUGUUAAAAGAUACUUUUCAGAAGAAGGCAAAACCAUGACUCUCUUUACAGAAAUAAAAAUGAACGUGUGAUGAGGAAUUCAUUUUACUCAUAUGAUCUGAGAAAACCAGGCAGAUGUUAUAACCGAAUCUAAGGAAAGCUCAACACAGCACAAAUUUAUAUAGUAAAGGAAUGUUGAGAUGAAUUGCAAAUGGGGACAAAACUAAACAGGGCUAGAACCUGAAGACCCAGAGAGGUGUAUUGCAGAUGGUGCAGUUAUCUACUGAAAUACAGAAUUUUUUCUACACAUGAUUCUUCAAUCUGAGCACUCAACAUGUAAGUCCCAGGGAGGAUGGGUUGAGUUUCUGGCAGGAGCAGAAUGAGAAGGUGGGUUUGAUGCUAUCAAGAGUCAACAAAAGACAGCAGGAAGAAAACCAGAAAUGACACAUUUCAACACAAACAUUUUGCAGUGGAUUCAUUAUAAUACUUUUUGACUGGUUAGCUUUUCUUGGUAGAGAAGUUGUUAUACUCUAAUAUUCCUGUCUCCCCAAAUUUGUAUGUUGAAGACCUAACCCCAACCUGAUGGUAUCCGGAGGUGAUUAGGUUUAGAUGAGGUCAUGAGGAUAGGACCUUCGUAAUCCUAUUGAUAGGAUUAGUGUUCC